AGAACGAACGCUGGCGGCAGGCUUAACACAUGCAAGUCGAGCGCCCCGGCAACGGGGAGCGGCAGACGGGUGAGUAACGCGUGGGAACGUACCCUCCGGUUCGGAAUAACUCAGGGAAACUUGAGCUAACACCGGAUACGGCAUUUCCAAGAGAAAUCUUGGCGGCGAAAGAUUUAUCGCCGGAGGAUCGGCCCGCGUCCGAUUAGCUAGUUGGUGUGGUAAUGGCGCACCAAGGCGACGAUCGGUAGCUGGUCUGAGAGGAUGAUCAGCCACAUUGGGACUGAGACACGGCCCAAACUCCUACGGGAGGCAGCAGUGGGGAAUAUUGGACAAUGGGCGCAAGCCUGAUCCAGCCAUGCCGCGUGAGUGAUGAAGGCCUUAGGGUUGUAAAGCUCUUUCGCCCACGACGAUAAUGACGGUAGUGGGAGAAGAAGCCCGGCUAACUUCGCGCCAGCAGCCGC
RNAcentral lists this ribosomal RNA (461 nucleotides) under uncultured bacterium. RNAcentral describes it as "SSU rRNA". It matches the Rfam family "Bacterial small subunit ribosomal RNA", at positions 26 to 518 of the family's 1533-position model. The record is from RNAcentral.